RNAcentral lists this ribosomal RNA (465 nucleotides) under uncultured bacterium. RNAcentral's name for it is "partial 16S ribosomal RNA". It matches the Rfam family "Bacterial small subunit ribosomal RNA", at positions 29 to 507 of the family's 1533-position model. The record is from RNAcentral.
ACGAACGCUGGCGGCGCGCCUAACACAUGCAAGUCGAGCGAGCGAGAGGAGGUUUACUUUCUCAAGCGAGUGGCGAACGGGUGAGUAACGCGUGAGGAACCUGCCUCAAAGAGGGGGACAACAGUUGGAAACGACUGCUAAUACCGCAUAAGCCCACGACCCGGCAUCGGGUAGAGGGAAAAGGAGCAAUCCGCUUUGAGAUGGCCUCGCGUCCGAUUAGCUAGUUGGUGAGGUAAUGGCCCACCAAGGCGACGAUCGGUAGCCGGACUGAGAGGUUGAACGGCCACAUUGGGACUGAGACACGGCCCAGACUCCUACGGGAGGCAGCAGUGGGGAAUAUUGCACAAUGGGGGAAACCCUGAUGCAGCGACGCCGCGUGGAGGAAGAAGGUCUUCGGAUUGUAAACUCCUGUUGUUGAGGAAGAUAAUGACGGUACUCAACAAGGAAGUGACGGCUAACUACGUG